This is a long non-coding RNA of Pantherophis guttatus, 209 nucleotides long. RefSeq lists it as uncharacterized. The record is from RefSeq and is a predicted model, not a curated record. NCBI's taxonomy places the organism in Eukaryota, Metazoa, Chordata, Lepidosauria, Squamata, Colubridae.
CUGGCUAAGAAAUGCUCCAGCUGUGAAAAUCAAGCAUCUUCUAGCUUGGGAAGGUUCAAAGCACGCAGUGGGAAUCGCUUUAGAGAUACAUUUGCCCGGGUGAAGUUUCUCUUGCACAGUUCUGCUAUGACUUGGAAAUGUUAAGGCGUCUCUGUUUACAGCCAACUUGGAAACUGCAUGAUGUGCAUAUUAAUAAAAAUGCAGUAACA